RNAcentral lists this ribosomal RNA (438 nucleotides) under uncultured bacterium. Its description in RNAcentral is "bacterial SSU rRNA". It matches the Rfam family "Bacterial small subunit ribosomal RNA", at positions 958 to 1397 of the family's 1533-position model. The record is from RNAcentral.
AACGCGAAGAACCUUACCAAGGUUUGACAUGGCCGGAAAACUCAUGGAGACAUGGGGUCCUUCGGGGCCGGUCACAGGUGGUGCAUGGCUGUCGUCAGCUCGUGUCGUGAGAUGUUGGGUUAAGUCCCGCAACGAGCGCAACCCUCGUCCCAUGUUGCCAGCGGGUUAUGCCGGGGACUCAUGGGAGACUGCCGGGGUCAACUCGGAGGAAGGUGGGGAUGACGUCAAGUCAUCAUGCCCCUUAUGUCUUGGGCUGCAAACAUGCUACAAUGGCCGGUACAAAGGGCUGCGAGCCUGUGAGGGUGAGCGAAUCCCGGAAAGCCGGUCUCAGUUCGGAUCGGGGUCUGCAACUCGACCCCGUGAAGUCGGAGUCGCUAGUAAUCGCGGAUCAGCAACGCCGCGGUGAAUACGUUCCCGGGCCUUGUACACACCGCAUAC